AUGACUAACCUCCACCCAGACCUCUGCAUUCCAGCACGGUCUGCGAAGCUCCUGGGGAAAGGCGCGGGUAGGGAAAGACCAGGCCUUUCUGCAAGAGAGCAGUUAUGGAGGGGGAGGGGCGUCUCCAACUGUCACUUUAGGGCACUCUCCGAGCCUGCGUCCUGGGCCCGGACAAGGGACACAGGUUCAGUCACAGCGCUAGAACUGAGCAGAGUACGUUCAGAGUACGCAAUGAUUACAUUCUUGAUGCGGAAUUGUACAUUGAAUGUGUACAGUGAAAAUGAGGCCCCUCCUGGCACCCUGUGGAGGGACCCAUUAAGCACAGAUUGUUCUCAAAGUCACUUCCACGGAGCAGCAGUCCCCAUCCCCCAGCAACGCCAGCACGAGGCCCGGCUGUGUCUGAAUGAUCCUUUCUUUAUGCCAAGCACACUGGGUAGCGGUGUGCAGUGCGAGCGCCCAGCCUGUGGCCAGGAUGGGGCCAGUGUGCGGUCACGGCAGGAGCCCGAGACAGUCCAGUGCAGGUCAUGAGCUGCAGGCCAUGGUGGAGACGGGUAAGAUGGUUUCUGGGAGUUUUCAGGGACACAGGCUCGGGCAUGGGGCGGUCUGAAGCUCCCAGCCUCAUGUAGGAUUCUUGGGGCUACAGGGGACAGGUCUCAUGGGGGUGGCCUGCCCUGGAGUGAUGUCACUGCACAGGCACAAGAGCAGCGAGCUGCUGGCCUCUCAGGGAGAACUACCCUUCUGGUGGAGGCCACACCCUCGCCACAGAUCUGAGAUCAACCCAGUCCUAAAGCAGGACAGCCAGGCCUAGAGGUCAAUUGUGGAGUUUGCUUUCCAAAGCUGAGUAACGAAGACCUGUGGAGUGGCGCACAUCUGUAAUCUCAGUACUCGGAGAGGUGGAGAGGCAGGAGGGAGGCUGAGGCACAAGAACCACGCAUGUGAGACCAGGCCGGGCCACUUAGCUACUCAGUGAGACUGUGACAACAUUAAGAACAAAAAUGAAAUGGGCUGGAGAUGCAGCUCUGGGAAACGUUCCCCAGUACUGAAAAGAAACAUUUCCUGAUUUAUAAGGUGCCUCAGUCGAGCGAAUUCUGCAGUGUCCAGGGCAAGACUGGACCAGUCACCCCUAGGAACCUUCAACCUCUGGAAUCCAGGAUGCUCUGAGAUUUCAUAUUUUAAAAAUAAAACUUAAUCAAGAUCUCAAGGUUGCUUGUCCUUCUUUAUGAAGAAGUGGUGGAGCUGUGCUGUGCUGUCCUCUGUCCUCCAACAUGUAACUGUCAGCCAUGACGGACUGCCCCCAAGUGGUCCCUGAAAGCCGAAACACACGUUUCCCAGUGGCCACCAGGAGCUCUGUGCCCCGGGGACCGCGUGCUCUGCCUGUGGACAGCAGGGACGUGAGCAUCUCUCUGUCCCGCCUCUGUGACUGUGACCCUAACACUCCGCUGCCAGGAUUCCACCUUGGAAAGUGAGAGUAAGGGACGCAAACGUUCCCUUCAGCUCUAUUAGAGGCAUGAAAAAUUGGCAGCCUUCUGGAGGAGAGGCUGAGACACUGCGUCACACCACCGACUGCAAGAGGGGCGGAGACGACGGGACCACGCCCACAGUGCGUGCGUGAGGUGAGGGAGCGCUGUGGGCUGCACCCCCGCCUCAACACCAAGAUGAAGACAGGAAGGAGGAGCACCUCGGGGGAACUCCGGAUUUUGGUGGAUGACUGUGUCCUUUUGCUUAUUAUUCACUUACAUGGUGCUAAUUUCACUAUAAUAAAUGCUUCUGGUCAAAAAUUCUGCAUAAUUUAUUGAAUAAACGAGUGAAAGAUGAUUAGGAUCUAUUGAGGAUUUUCUACUGGACAAAAACCGAGAUUCAUCAGUCCCUUCUGGGAUUAUACCACUGGAGAGAAAUCGGAUUGCACUAAUGUGCAAACUGUAGAAAAGGAAAGUUGUAGGGACCUAAGGUGAGUGGUGGCCUGGACCCGCGGCACGGGGAGGGGAGGAGCCACUCGGCACAGCACUGAGGAGAGUGCUCUGGUCCUGGACGGUGGUGCCGGGUGUACAACACUGAGAAUGCACUUCCUGCCACCCAGCUGAUCGAUUUAAACCACACAAAAAUUUUAACAUUUAUUUUAAAAAAAAUCUAUUGUUUACGUAAACCCAGAAAAAGAAAGCAAAAGUAAACAUCAAAACAUGUGCAACAGUGAUGCAUGGGGAGGGCAGGGGUGGGGCAGGCGCUGGUCCCAGGGGAAGCUCGGGAGCUGACCCCUGCUGUGGCGCCACCAGGAGCCCCAGCCCUACAGCUGGCGCACAAGGGCUUCCUGGCACUGGCUCUCGCUGUGGGGCCAGAGCCGGGGAGGGAGAUGCCGGUGGAGCUGGCACGGACUCCGCAGGCGGGACUUCAGCUUGGGCUGGAGCUGGCCCUGGGGCUGUAAGAUAAGAAAAGCUCAGCAACUCUCCAUGUUUCUUCCCGGGGCAAAACCUUCCCACUGCCUGUCGGAGACAGCUCUGUGCACCAAGCCAUGCCCAGGAAGUCCUCCCAGACUCACCCCCCCCCAACUGACUGCUGAGGGUCUCAGUGUUCAGGGAUCACCCAGCACCUGGAAGCUCUGUCUGUUUUCAACCGCCCACCCCAUGGCUAUAGUCCCAUACCCUAGUCCUCCUCACCCCUGGGCUCUGCCUCAGUGAGCUCAGCCUGCUCCAGCUGGGCCAGAAGAAGCUUGGCUGUGUGGUGCACCUGGGAGUGCAGCUUCAGCAAGGAGUCAAGGAUGGAGGACAUGGACCCUGGGGAAGUUGGAUAGCAGCGGAGUGAGAGGCCUGGCCUUGCUGCCCACACUCCCUGCCCCCAGCAAGGAUGGACAUGUGGCCUCCACCAUCCGUGCAUGGUCCAGCCCCGCGGUCUCCAUAAACCCAUGGAGCAGUCCUGGCCCAGGCAGCCCUGAGCACCUGACAGAAGGCUCUGUGGGAGGGAGCCCUUCCUCGGGGGCGUCACCACGCUGCCUGCUUCAGGGCAGCUGACACACUGUCCCUCUGCCCGUCCCCACUGUCAGCUCCAUGAGGACAGAGACUGGUACCUGCCGAGUGGUUGCACUCAAGGGCACAGGGCUGCUCCUCACAUGUCAGAGAAGCGAGGGGACAGCAGGCGUCUGUCCUGCCCUCUCUUCCGGUUUCAGCUCAUGCAGCGGCAUGCUGCCCAGUGCUCUGCGCCUCCUCUGGGCUCCUCUCGAACUGUUGGGACCCACAUCUAGGGAGGCCAGGGGCAGGCUCGUCUCUGUAAUGUGGUAAUGCCUGCUCUGCUUCCAGGAUAACUGUGUGGACCCCAAAUAGCAUUGAAAGCCCAGAGGACUGUGCUUGCAUCUGCCCUGGUUGUUGGCUCAUGGUCAAGGCCCAGAGAAGUGUCUGCACAUAGUAUGUCUUCAUGUUCCUGGAUUAAUGUUCCCACUGGCACUUCCAUGACGUGUAAGUGGCGUGGGGCCUUUGUAUUCACCAAGGAUUCCUGCCUGGGACCACCCUGAAGCCCACAGACUGACUCUGCAAUCUCCUGGACAAUGACCAGAACAACUUUCCCCAGGUGCAGGGGUGAGUGUGGGGGAGGCAAAGCUUGCCAGUGGGGAUGGAAGAUCAUCUGUGAGAAUCAGCAGGGCCACUGCAGCUGGUCUUCCACGGGGCCAAGGCCAGGGUGGAGUCUUAUGAGACCCCAUUCCAUCCUACAGCCAUGAAGUGCGCUUGAUUUACUCGACAGAGGCCGAGAGGGGCUUGCACCUUCCAAAGACUUGGAGCCUUAGGUGGCGUCACACACUGCGCUGCUGAGCGCAGAGCUCACCUUCCCACCAUGAGGUCCUGUGAGGAGGAAGUGUUGGCCCUGGAGCCCUCUGGGAAGCAGGGCCUGCUGACGGGGCCGCUGUCCAGGGAAGCCUGCUCCGGGAGCUCCGUCAGGGUGCGCUGUGUGUCUGCACCUGCCAGCUCCGUCCUCUCUGUGCAGACCUCUGCCGGGCUCUCGGCUGCCUGGUUUCCAAUCUGUGGUGGGACAGUGGGGAGACAUGGGGUUGGUGUAACACCCGUGACUUACCAGGAGGGCUUGAGGACUAAGCUACCCUUGUAGAGCUCAUUUAGCCCAGGCGUCCCAGACAUCUGACAGGUGCCACUUGGACACCUAGGCCAGGAGUUACAAUGAGGUAAAUUGUAAAUAACGAGUGAAGUCAAGGAACAUAGUGUCUUCGUCCCUCUUUUGGUACCCCCAGCCCCGGCAACAUGUGGACAGUGAGCCUGCCCCUCCCGAGGUGGAGGCUGAGCACAGCGGAUGUGGAUGUUGAAGACGUGAGGUGCACAGUCCUCUGGGAGCUGCACACUGGACCUGCUGUUUCCCAAGCCCUGGAGGGAGGUGAUGAACAUGUUAUCUGUCCCCGAGGGUCCUCUCUGUCCUCCUAUGGCCCUCAGCUCACACACACACCCUGUGCCCUAGCUGGCAUCUGUUGCAACUGGGAGUCCAGUGUGUGUCACAGGCACACAGCACACAGGCCCUGUGACAAGCUCCAGCCCGAUGCCCUGGGAGCCGCUCGGUUGGGACAGAGCCCAGCAGCUGGCACGAAGCAUGAGGCUCUGCCUGACCACAGUUUGUGCUGCUUUUGCCUCAGAGGAGCCUGUGCUGCUGACACUCAAACAGCUCCGUCACUGGCUUCUACCUCGGGAGGCCAGGAGAUGGCUCUGGGCUGUGGAUAAUCUCUGGGCACUGCCCUGCUCCUCCUGCAGCCCUGUCAUGGGUGGGAAUGUGACAGGACCCCAGGCCCACAGCCUCCCAGCACCUGCUCCUGCCCAGGAGGAACUUUGCUAGGACCCUGACUUCCCCCCAACAACACACAUAGUGAGGACGGGAGUUGGGCAGGGGACUCACAGUGCCGACCGAGCCUAAGUGGACCUGUCCUGGGCUUGGUGGCUCCAAGUGGCUCCUGUCCAGGCCCAGGGAGACCCGCUGUGGGCUCCCUCUUAUCUCUGAGCCCGUGGUCGCUGGGUCUGGGGAGACCCGCGCUGUGCUGCCCACGGCAGUUGGGCGGUUCCUGCCCCGUGGCCCGAAGAGCCUGGGCCGAGCGAUCCACCUUCGCACUCGUGCCCACGUGCUCUCCCUGCGUGGGGUCCUGCGCCUUCCACCUUGAGGCCUGGGAAAGCAGCACAGCAUGUUCUCCCCUGACUGUCUACAGCCAAGUGAUUAGGGAGGCAGCCACCGCUAGACUGUGCUGCCCAGUCACCGCAGGGUUCCAAGUUCUGUUUGGACCUAUCGCCAAGGAAGUGAGGUCACGUGCUGGGCCCACAGGCUGAGCUCCCCCUCUGAUGAGAAGACCCUACAGCCCCUUUCUCUCCAUAGUGAACAAUCUGUGUGCUCCUGAGACACAGCAAUGAAAACAUAGGCAGCUGCCUGUGAUGUCAGAGUCUGAUGAAUUU
Molecule: long non-coding RNA, 5420 nt
Organism: Chinchilla lanigera (long-tailed chinchilla)
Lineage: Eukaryota; Metazoa; Chordata; Mammalia; Rodentia; Chinchillidae
Source: Ensembl